Molecule: ribosomal RNA, 357 nt
Filed under: uncultured bacterium
Lineage: Bacteria
Description: bacterial SSU rRNA
Rfam family: Bacterial small subunit ribosomal RNA
Source: RNAcentral
AGAGUUUGAUCAUGACUCAGGAUGAACGCUAGCUACAGGCUUAACACAUGCAAGGUCGAGGGGAAACGACAUCGAAAGCUUGCUUUUGAUGGGCGUCGACCGGCGUACGGGUGAGUAACGCGUAUCCAACCUGCCCACCACUUGGGGAUAACCUUGCGAAAGUAAGACUAAUACCCAAUGAUAUCUCUAGAAGACAUCUGAAAGAGAUUAAAGAUUUAUCGGUGAUGGGUGGGGAUGCGUCUGAUUAGCUUGUUGGCGGGGUAACGGCCCACCAAGGCAACGAUCAGUAGGGGUUCUGAGAGGAAGGUCCCCCACAUUGGAAUUGAGACACGGUCCAAACUCCUACGGGAGGCAGCA